Molecule: non-coding RNA, 225 nt
Organism: Vicia faba (fava bean)
Lineage: Eukaryota; Viridiplantae; Streptophyta; Magnoliopsida; Fabales; Fabaceae
Source: the annotation of a GenBank genome assembly
AUGAUUCACAGCGGCGGGUCGGCGGUUAUGUAUUGUGAAGGUUGCAGUGAUGUGGAUAUUUGUGAGAUGGAUAUGGAAAUUGUGGGUGGAUUAGGUUUAGAGAGGUUUGAGCAAAGCUUUGGGGGGAGUUUUUGUAUGAGAGUUGGUGGAGGAAAGAGUAACGGUGAGGAUGAUGUCAAAGCUUUAAGCAGGGAUUACAUAUGCAACAUCAACAAGUUUUGGUAA